This 1197-nucleotide unclassified non-coding RNA is filed under the name Hevea brasiliensis (rubber tree). The record is from RNAcentral. Lineage: Eukaryota; Viridiplantae; Streptophyta; Magnoliopsida; Malpighiales; Euphorbiaceae.
GGAGUUUUAGGGUCAGAAGCUAUAUCACCGUCAAAAUCAGGAGGCUUCGAUUCCGUUUUUAUGGUAAGGCCUGUAUUGCCAACUGCAAUUUUUUGACCAGUAGGAUAACUUUUUCCAUUUCCAUCAAACUUCACAGAUUUAUCUUCUUUCCGAUUUCUCAUUUCCUCAUCAAAUUUGCAUUCCUCGCACAUCCAAUCACCCUCUGGAACUUUUUGUAACAUUUCUCGCAUGCAAUAAGUAUGUUCUGCACCAUCUGUACAUUUACAACAUAUGGCAAGUAAAUCCUCCCGACCAGCAUCUCCACAUAUAUCACAAACUUUCACAUCUAGCUCCUCAACGUCGGAUUCCUCACUCUCAUCCAUUUGAUGUGAUUGUAAGGCAUUCUUUGUAUCAGAGGACACAGGUGAUCCAACAUUCUUUUGGUCAUUCUUCUCAGGACAAGUAUCAGCAGGUAGAUCAUCAGAAGCUUCAGAUUUCACGUCAUUCUUUAAUGAUGAAUGGUUAUUUUCCAAACAGUCUCCCGUACUAUGUACAUUUCUUGAAGAGGUCGCCUCAGUAGGAGCCUUAUUAUUUUCUUCCCCACUGCUUUCAUUCUGCCUACUAUGGUCAAUUGGACUACCAUCAUCAGCCUCAACUUUCACGUGUACACAUCCAGCAGAAGUUUGAUUAUUUAUAGUUUUCCCAGUAGAAGUAGAAGAACACUGAAGACUUGAUUUGUCUUCCCUCAUCUUACUGAAGCUGGAUAAUUUAUUAGCUUCAUAGCCUCCAACGAUACACGACAUGUUGUCAUCAAGGCCUUCAAAAGAUUUGAGAUCCUUUAACUCCACAAGCACUGCACCAUCUGUUUCCCCAGAUAAUUCAUCAACUUUUGACUCCAUGAGACUUUGACUAGCAGGAAAACAAGAAGAGCAAGGAGUGGAGCACACGUUACACGAUCCAGCGACUAGUCUUCCACCGACAGUCUGAUUCUGAGUACACGGGAUAGAUUCCUUAUUGACUUCAGUUGACACCUGAACACAAUAAAACAUUUGGAAAAAGAAAGUGUUUCGAUUAAGGAGAGGAAACAAUAAUAGGGAAACCUACAGGAUAUAAAGAAUGUAGACAGUAUUGUUAUACUUUAUUGAUUGUUUGCAAGUUUAGGACUUCCACAGCAGGACUCCUCCUUUUUGUUAUGUACAGACGGAUUUCUGUCACGCC